This 506-nucleotide ribosomal RNA is filed under the name uncultured bacterium. RNAcentral describes it as "bacterial SSU rRNA". It matches the Rfam family "Bacterial small subunit ribosomal RNA", at positions 9 to 510 of the family's 1533-position model. The record is from RNAcentral.
GAGUUUGAUCCUGGCUCAGAUUGAACGCUGGCGGCAGGCCUAACACAUGCAAGUCGAGCGGUAGAGAGAAGCUUGCUUCUCUUGAGAGCGGCGGACGGGUGAGUAAUGCCUAGGAAUCUGCCUGGUAGUGGGGGAUAACGCUCGGAAACGGACGCUAAUACCGCAUACGUCCUACGGGAGAAAGCAGGGGACCUUCGGGCCUUGCGCUAUCAGAUGAGCCUAGGUCGGAUUAGCUAGUUGGUGAGGUAAUGGCUCACCAAGGCGACGAUCCGUAACUGGUCUGAGAGGAUGAUCAGUCACACUGGAACUGAGACACGGUCCAGACUCCUACGGGAGGCAGCAGUGGGGAAUAUUGGACAAUGGGCGAAAGCCUGAUCCAGCCAUGCCGCGUGUGUGAAGAAGGUCUUCGGAUUGUAAAGCACUUUAAGUUGGAAGGAAGGGCAGUAAAUUAAUACUUUGCUGUUUUGACGUUACCGACAGAAUAAGCACCGGCUAACUCUGUGCCA